This 240-nucleotide unclassified non-coding RNA is filed under the name soil metagenome. RNAcentral's name for it is "partial contains 5.8S ribosomal RNA, internal transcribed spacer 2, and large subunit ribosomal RNA". The record is from RNAcentral.
AACAAGGCGUACCUGCGGACCUGCGGAGGGAUCAUUACGAGAGUGUCACCACUCCCAACCCAUUGUUUACCUACCCGUCCACCGUGCUUCGGCAGGCAGCCCUGUGGGACAGAGCCUCGCCCCCCUCCGCGGGGGGGUGCCUGCCGCUGGCCAACCAACAACUCUAGCUGUUUUAGUACCAUCUGAGUCUUCCACAAAUGAACAAAACUUUCAGCAAUGGAUCUCAGAUCGGAAGAGCAC